UAAACGUUUUAAAAUGUGCUACCU
This 24-nucleotide non-coding RNA is filed under the name Arabidopsis thaliana (thale cress). Lineage: Eukaryota; Viridiplantae; Streptophyta; Magnoliopsida; Brassicales; Brassicaceae. The record is from RNAcentral.